Molecule: long non-coding RNA, 5114 nt
Organism: Haemorhous mexicanus (house finch)
Lineage: Eukaryota; Metazoa; Chordata; Aves; Passeriformes; Fringillidae
Exons: 3
Source: RefSeq, a predicted model, not a curated record
GCCACGGGGAGGGCCGGGCGGAGCGAGGUAGGCAGGGAAGGGAUGGAGGAAGGCAGCGAGAGAGGAAGGCCGAGAAGGGGUGGAGGAAGUGGAGGAAGUCAGGGAAGAGUUGGAGGAAGGCAGGGAAAACGAGGAGCAGCGGUGUUGCCCCCGCGAUCCGGAGAGGACAGGCGGGCGGUGCCUCAGCCCGCAGUGGAGGCAGCCGGAGAGCUCCGGACACAGCGAGAUCGCGGCCACCCCGCCUCCAUCAGGGCUUCCUCAGCCUUGAGGGGACCCUUCUCUUUAAGGGAACGCUUUUCCCUGAGGAAACUCUCCUUUUUGAGCGGACACUUCCCUCCUUUUUGAGGGAGCCCUCCGCCCUGAGGAAGGCCUCCAUUUUGAGGGGACCGUCCACCCUUUUCCCUGGAGAUAAUCUCCUUUAGGAAACCGCCCUCCCUGAGGAGACCCUGCUUUUCCAGGGAGCCCUUUUCCCUGAGGGGACCCUGUUUUUCCAGGAAAACCUCUUCCCUGAGGAGACCCUGCUUUUCUAGGAACCCUUUUCCCUGAGGAGACCCUGCUUUUCCAGGAACCCUCCUCCCUGAGGAGACCCUUCUUCCUGAGGCAUCCCUUUUCCCUCACCCUCCCUGGCCCUAAAAAGUGUUUCAAAAAGUGUAAAAUUUCAGAGCUGUAGCUGGUACACAGCAACCACCCCACGCAGGGCUGAGGUGCCAGGUGCCCUGUGCUGAUGCUCAUCCUAAAAAGUAUCCUGGGAAGGUUCCAGAAAGGUCUAUGGGUGAAGGUGUUGCUGGCCCUGAUCUGUGCUGGAAACAGCUCAUGGCCUUUGGGAAGGGAAAAGCUGGGUGUGCCUGUGUGUAGUAAAUACACACACACAGGUCACUUUCAGGGUAAAUGCUCCAGCUCUGGUCAGUUUCAAUGGCAGCGGGGACUGGAGGGAGAGCACAACAAUUUUUCAAUGAAUAGGUUCAGUUUCUGUCUCCUGACUGGCAAAAUCAUGCUGGUGUGAGGCUGAGAGGUAAAAAGGCUGUGCAUGGGCUAAGGGACAAAUGCAAGGUGACAGGGACUGGCCAUGCCUUCAGUCAGACACGUGAAGACUUGGGAGAAAAAAUUAUAACCUCAGUGGUUGCAAAACCCUGGUCCCACAACUCUUUUUUUGUUUCCAGGUGGCAACCUUUCAUCCCAUUUGCAUUAUUCUCCUGGUUCUUUCAGCUACAGGGUUUGGUUCCUGCAGCAGACCAAGGCCUUCACAUUCAGAACAGUAACACCAUUUUUGUCCAUGCUUUGUCUGACUCUGGUUGAUUUUCUUGCAGCCUGAAGCCUCCUUCUCCUUUCAGAUUGGGAGAGAUGAGCAAAUUCACACAAGUCUGGUAUUGUGAGUGUCCCUGCAACAAGGUACCAUGGAACAGGUGCAAAAUUUCAUAAAAACCUGUAGAAUAAUCUUCCUGUUGCCAGCUCAGAAACAGAUUGACCAGAAUUCCAGGGUGGAUGCUGUUUCAGACUCUCUCUGAUCGCCGCUUGAGGCACAGGAGUUACCCAUCUCCUUCAGCAGGGUCAGGACAUAGUAAAGUAAAAAUUAAAUAAUUUAUAGCAUGUUCCUAUGAUAUGAACGCAGCCUGGGCUAGUGGAAAGUGUCCCUGCCCGUAGCAGUGUCGAGAUGACCAUUUUGACUCAAAACAGCUCGAAACAUUCCAGGAUUCAAUGACAUUCCUCUGGAAACUGCUGGAGAUGUCUUUGCCCACACGAUGGCAUCGCAUGUUUAGGAAGUUCCCCACACUGAGACCUCAGCGCCGCUCCGAGCGGGUUUGGAUUCCCCCGUUUGCACACUGUGUGUUGGAAGUAAAACCUGUGUAAUAAACUGGUUUAUCCCUUUCCUGUUCACUCUGCGUAAUGACUGUGAGGACAAAACUCGGAUCUUGGUGGAAAUCCCUCCCUGGGCUACAUGAGCAGGUUCUGGAAAAAGUCUGCUGUGUGUUUGGUUUCCAUCCGUGUUAAUGAACUUCCAGAUGAUGCUCAUGGAGAAAAGUGAACCGUGCACAGACCUCUUUUCAGUCUGGAAAUUUGACGAGACUUGAGAUUCUAGACUUAUGGACCUUGCACUCAGACUGACAACCAGCCAGCUAAUUCUGAUUGACCAGUAUCAUCCUCACAAAGAAAUGAUGAUUUCAAGACCCUUUUUCUCCAGCUACUGAGCUCAGUGUCAGUCAAAAGCUACUGAAAGGUACCUGGCCUGGUUUAACUCCAAUUUAUCCUCUUUUGUUCAAGCCUUGGCCGUUUGUGACAGAGCUGACUGUGAGCUGUGGGUUUGCCUGCCCUGCCCCUCAAUCUAACCUGAGCUUCCUGCUGCUCCUGGAUGGAGUUUUGUCACUCGUCUGUGACAUUAGGCUGUAAACUCCAGCUCUUAAAGCCAGGAGAUACUCACACUAAAUCGCACAGAUUAUGCUCCUGCUGAGGGAAUUUCCAGGUCAGAGGCUAACCACCCUUCAACACCUGUUCUUUGCGCCGCGGAGAGUGUAAAAAGUCAAGCUGGAAACCUGGUGCAUAAGGGCAGCAAUUCGCAGCUCUCCUUAAAUCAGUCGUCACUUCCUGAUGUGUAUUUUCAGCUACUCAGCAGAGCUGGUGAAGUGUCUUGAGUGCUUUGUCUCUGCCAGUCGGAGAGAGAGAAUACACUAAGAUGCCUUUUAAGGACAUUCAAGAAUAUACUGGGGUAUAAAAAAGAGGAAAAACACACAAGAAGGUUCUAUAAACAAUUGUGGCUAAUUUUGUGAACUGGUGUUAGGUGUGUGUUUGAUUGCAGAGUGAAAAAAACAAAACUACAAAACCCCAAACUAUUUAUUUAAAAGACUAUAUAUUUUUGACUUUAAUAAAAUGAAGUAGAUUUGGUUUUAUUAGUUUGCCAAGACCACAGAACAUUUAGAUGACCUUAGUUCCAGGUAAUCCUCAGUUCAAGUCUCUUAGUUCAAGUCUCCUUCAGUUAAAAUAAAUAAUUUCAAGAUAACAGAAUAUUUGAAUGCAUUUAUAUCUAGCACAUCUGUUUUACCUCAGUUAUCUUUUAGUUUCUUUUAAAUUAUUUUUUUCUCCUGAGUUGGAACAGAGAAAUUUUGCAGCUGAUUAGUCUUGUAUACAUAUGUUAAAGUUGUUACUCUCUGGUGUCAGUGACUCAGAACCAUUCUGAUUCACCUUUGAUAUGAUUCAUACCUCGCGCUGAGUUCUCACUGAAGGCCAGCUGAGAAAGGGACCCUGCUGUGCCAAAGACUGUGCAGACAGACAGGAUUUCUGCUCCAAAGAGCUUAUAAUUAGCUGCACUCACACAUGCAAUGAGCAGAACUCCAGCCCUCUCAGCCACAAGCAUCUGACAACUCCAAAAAUGGCAUUAUCACACCGGAGGCACUUUUCAGCAGGGUGUUUUGGGGGUAUGUUCACCUCCUGGGUAAGAGAGAUUGGGACUCCAGGUCCAAAUAAGCCAUUCAGUUUGAAGCCUCUUGCAGCCUGGAGUGUAGAUAAGCCCUGCUGCAAGUCACAUGGAGGAAACAUAGCUGAUGCUUUUCACUUCCCACGUAUUACUCAGCAUUUCAGUUACAUUGUAUUGCAGAACUCUGCCCUUUGCAAAAAAGGUCACAUUUGAGUUAAGAGAGUUAAAUUAUAAAAGACCCUUUCCAUGUUUUAGGGUCUAGAGAACAGAAAAGUCAUUUCACCCUUUUAAUGCCAUUAGGCUCAGUGUUUCCUGUUUUGAUGGACAUGUGAAGUUUCACAAGGCAUCUGCAGUCACAGUGAAAUCUUGCAAUGGUGGCAUUAGAUGAAACUAGUUGUGGGCUUGGCCCUCUGAUCAUCUGUAGGGUGACCUCAGCACAAAAUUCUUUUGACUUUAAAAGGUAUCCUCCAAACCUACCCCACAUAUCCUUUUGUAUCCGUGCUGUUCAACUCUGCCUGUAACUGGCUGCUAUAGGAGCUGUAACUUCACAGCUUCUCACCUGAUUUGCCUUCGGGUUUUUGUAGGAUUGCCAUAUAAGGGUAAAAGACAGUCUGACUCUCACCCAAACUGAGUCCUUAGGUAGUCACAAAGGAAGUUCUGGGUUUUGCAAGUCUUGGUACUUCCCUUUACAAACCCCUCUGCCUGCUGGUAACCAACUCUUCUAUAAAAGGAGAAAGGGUGCAGUGAACACAUGAAUCUGAUUAUUGGGGUUGGAACUAAGUGAUGUUUAAGGUCACCUCCAAACCAUUCUCUGAUUCUGUGGUUGUGGGUAGAGACUAGAACAUGCAGUAUUUUAGAAUAUGUACUUACAGGUGGGAUAACAUUAAUAUAAACCACAGCCAAUUUAACAAGGCAAACAAUCCUUAACAAGAGAACCUCUUCCGCCAAAUAUGCAACCUCUGAUGCUGAGAAACCCUACACAGCCCCUUUUGUUUAAUUUCUGCUUAACCCAGGCCUAGUUUGAAUUAAAUUCCAGAUUACUUACUGCAUUACCCAACUCUUUUGUUUUGUUUGUAAUCUGUGUUUAGUGAAAACUGUAGAGGAAUACAACAAGCCUGUAUCUGAGUAAAGGAAUCAAGUGGUAGAAUUCUGAAUAUCAACAGUCUUUGCUUCUCUUUUUUUGUUUGGUUGGUUUAAUUUCAGUUUUUUUUCAUUUACAGGCUGCUUUCUAUGAAGGAAUUUUAGAAUUUGUUAGGGUAUUUUCUCCAAUGAGGAAGUCUUCCAUAGAAAAUACAUAACUUUAGUUGUUUCCAUAUAUAGUACUGCAGGAUGGAGAGCAGAGGAUGCAGAUGGAAACAGAAGGUCUCAUUUCCUCAGAACACAGCUUAAUUCCCUCUAUUUCAGUUGUAGUGUGGGCAGCACUACACACAGUAACACUGUGGCCCAGACUUCUUGUUCUGUUUGUGAGCGGGGGAUCACCUCACAGGGUGUUAUCACAAUUGUCUCCUUGGGGUCAGACUGUUUGGUCUGCCGAGCCCAAAUCCUGGAAGUGCCACCGCCAUCAGAAACAAUGAGGUGCAAACAGAGUGAAAAACAUCAAACAAUUUUAGAGCACUGAGUGUGGCUAACAAAAACAUGUUUGAGUACCAGAUGGGAAAGUUCUGGUAACAUUCCUGAACUCAUUUUCACUCUUGUUCACCUCUUUAAU